UAAAAGGCCAACACUGUUUCAAAAGCCCAGUUUGCUGUGCUAUAAUUAUCUUCAGUCAUUGGCCCAUCAAGAAGCUGCUUAUAUGUUGACUUGCUUCAACUAUGGUGGUAAACUCUACUAACCUGAGCUAAACAAAUCCAGUAAUGCAAUACGUAUCAGUUUGAUUUUCAUAAAACUUUGCGUACAACCUAAGAAUUACCUACAUAAAAAUCCAACGUCUGUUCCCCAUUUUUAAAUAAGAUUUUUAUUUAUGGUUAAGAAAUUGAAAGGUAUGUUAGGUAAGAGAUGUUCCCUAACAUUUAAACAUAAACAAUAAGAAUUUGUACUCCAAGUCCAACAUGUACAUAAUGUACUUUGAAAUGUAAUUUUAUCUGAUUAUUAACAUUUUGUUCAAAAAACAUCUAUUGUACUCCAGAAU
Molecule: long non-coding RNA, 418 nt
Filed under: Brassica napus (rape)
Lineage: Eukaryota; Viridiplantae; Streptophyta; Magnoliopsida; Brassicales; Brassicaceae
Description: long non-coding RNA (BNAP_LNC026128)
Source: RNAcentral